This 1028-nucleotide long non-coding RNA is filed under the name Monodelphis domestica (gray short-tailed opossum). RNAcentral's name for it is "lncRNA (ENSMODG00000047504.1)". Lineage: Eukaryota; Metazoa; Chordata; Mammalia; Didelphimorphia; Didelphidae. The record is from RNAcentral.
AUGUUUUUAUGCCCUAAUACAUGGUCAAUUUUUGUGAAUGUACCAUGUGCUGCUGAAAAGAAGGUAUAUUCCUUUUUGUCCCUAUUUAUUUUUCUCCACAUGUCUACUAACUCUAAUUUUUCUAAGAUUUCAUUCACUUCUCUUACCUCUUUCUUAUUUAUUUUUGUAAGAUUUCAUUCACUUCUUUUACCUCUUUCUUAUUUAUUUUUUGGUUUGAUUUAUCUAAAUUUGAUAAUGGUUGGUUCAAGUCUCCCACUAAUAUGGUUUUGCUGUCUAUUUCUUCCUUCAAUUCUCCUAGUUUCUCCAUUAGAAAUUUUGGUGCUAUAUUAUUUGGUGCAUACAUGUUGAUUAGUGAUAUUUCCUCAUUAUCUAAGGUCCCUUUUAACAAAAUAUAAUUACCUCCCCUAUCCCUUUUAAUCAGGUCUAUUUUUGCUUUGGCUUUAUCAGAUAUCAUGAUUGCAACUCCUGCCUUCUUUCUAUCAGUUGAGGCCCAGAAGGUCUUACUCCAUCCUUUAAUUCUGACCUUGUGGGUGUUUACCCUCCUCAUGUGUGUUUCUUGAAGACAACAUAUGGUAGGGUUUUGGAUUCUAACCCAUUCUGCUAUUCGUCUACUUUUUAUGGGUGAGUUCAUCCCAUUCACGUUCAAAGUUAUGAUUGUCACUGGUGGACUCCCUGGCAUUUUGAUAUCCUUCCCUAAUUCUAACCUUUCUUCUUUAGCUCUAACCUUUUAAUCCAGUGAUUUACUUUAAAUCAGUCCCCCUUGUCCCCUCCCUUGAUAUGUUUUCCUUUCUAGCCCCUCCCUUUUAGAUUCCCUUUUCCCCCUCUCCUUCCCUCCCUUUUUGUGUUACCUUCCCCUCCCAGCCCCCUUGGUUUUCCGUUCUCCCUACCUUUGUUAGGUAAGAUAAAAUUUAAGAUCCCAAUGGAUCUGGAUGUUUUUCCCUCUCAGAGUUGAUUUCCCUGAGGGUUAGGUCUAAGUAAAAACUCUCUUCCUCUCCUUCUUAUAGGAGUUUUCUUCCCCUCCCCUUCCC